RNAcentral lists this unclassified non-coding RNA (377 nucleotides) under plant metagenome. RNAcentral describes it as "partial contains 5.8S ribosomal RNA, internal transcribed spacer 2, and large subunit ribosomal RNA". The stretch from base 1 to 105 matches the Rfam family "5.8S ribosomal RNA", at positions 50 to 154 of the family's 154-position model. The record is from RNAcentral.
GAAAUGCGAUAAGUAAUGUGAAUUGCAGAAUUCAGUGAAUCAUCGAAUCUUUGAACGCACCUUGCGCUCCUUGGUAUUCCUCGGAGCAUGCCUGUUUGAGUAUCAUGAAAUUCUCAAAGUAAAUAUUUUGUUAACUCAAUUGGUUUACUUUGGAUUUGGAGGCUCUUGCAGAUUUAUUUCUGCUCCUCUUAAAUGCAUUAGCUGGAUCUCAGUAUAUGCUCGGUUCCACUCGGCGUGAUAAGUAUCACUCGCUGAGGACACUGUAAAAAGGUGGCCGGGAAAUACAGAUGAACCGCUCCUAAUAGUCUAUUUAAUUAGACAAAAAAAAAAUUAAGAUCUGAUCUCAAAUCAGGUAGGACUACCCGCUGAACUUAAGC